AGUGAACGCUGGCGGUAGGCCUAACACAUGCAAGUCGAACGGCAGCACAGGAGAGCUUGCUCUCUGGGUGGCGAGUGGCGGACGGGUGAGGAAUACAUCGGAAUCUGCCCAGUCGUGGGGGAUAACGUAGGGAAACUUACGCUAAUACCGCAUACGACCUUCGGGUGAAAAAGGGGGAUCGCAAGACCUCUCGCGAUUGGAUGAGCCGAUGUCGGAUUAGCUAGUUGGCGGGGUAAUGGCCCACCAAGGCGACGAUCCGUAGCUGGUCUGAGAGGAUGAUCAGCCACACUGGAACUGAGACACGGUCCAGACUCCUACGGGAGGCAGCAGUGGGGAAUAUUGGACAAUGGGCGCAAGCCUGAUCCAGCCAUACCGCGUGGGUGAAGAAGGCCUUCGGGUUGUAAAGCCCUUUUGUUGGGAAAGAAAUCUUUCAGGCUAAUACCCUGGGAGGAUGACGGUACCCAAAGAAUAAGCACCGGCUAACUUCGUG
RNAcentral lists this ribosomal RNA (490 nucleotides) under uncultured bacterium. Its description in RNAcentral is "partial 16S ribosomal RNA". It matches the Rfam family "Bacterial small subunit ribosomal RNA", at positions 29 to 507 of the family's 1533-position model. The record is from RNAcentral.